This is a long non-coding RNA of Haliotis rufescens (red abalone), 1533 nucleotides long. RefSeq lists it as uncharacterized. The record is from RefSeq and is a predicted model, not a curated record. Lineage: Eukaryota; Metazoa; Mollusca; Gastropoda; Lepetellida; Haliotidae. The transcript is spliced from 3 exons.
AAACCAUGAUGACAGAAUGUUCUCCUGCACAUUCCUAUUUAGCCAUUGUUACUCACUGUUAGAUAGUGUAUUAACGCAUACAUGCUCACAAGGAGAAGCUAGCUUUCUAAUGUCUGCAGAGUGAGUGAGUUAAAGUUUAACAUCGCCUCAGGAUUACUUCAGCCAUAUAGCGACUAAUAUCUGCAGAGAUGAGGAGGAGGAGGAGGAGGAGGAUGACAUACAUACUUGUACCUCCUACAACUUUAUCUAUAUACAAUGCAAUCUAACCACCUCACAAGCACAGAACAGCACAUGAGGCAACAACAAGGUGGCAACAGGAUUAAACAGUUAUCAUCCAUGGGACGGGACUUGUCUCCAUGGCAUUUCUAUUUCAAGAUAUAUACAAAGAUAUAGGCUUCACACAUUGUAGUCAUGUGGGGAAUCAAACCAAGGUCUUCAGCAUGAUGAGCAAAUGCUGUAACUGCUUGGCUAUCCCCAACACCCGUGAGGGAGCUAAGAGGAAAUGGAGGAACUAGAGGGCAGUUUUGGUCACAUGCUGGAAAUUCAAGAGUAAAAUUGUAUAACAUACCACUUAUUCAUACAUAUAUUAUGGGUGAAACGAUACAGCAAGGUCAUAACACGAUAUGUAUCACGAUACAUAGGUCAUGAUGGAAAACAUAUCACGAUGUGCAUAUUUACGUCAAAUCGUGUGGAAAUUUCUUGACUCUAAAAUAUUUCAGAGCAGGUUCAAAAGGAAAAUCUAGCUGUGGACACAUAUUCGUAGAGGCUAUUUUUUGUAGUGAACUUGAAAUGUUAAUUACCACACAUUUUGCCGAUAUUUGUCUUACAAAAACACUGGGGGGUCAUUAAACGAGUAGUAAGUGAUGUAUUUUAGAAAGUGUAUUGUCUUGCAAUGAUACAGAAAGAAACAUAGUGUAUCGUAAUGUUGCAUGAAAACUCAUGGUGUACCAGUUCACUGAUGUAUCGUUUCAUUCCCAACAUAUAUGAUCAAACAUUCUGUUGAAUAUAAUGUCCAUUCUCAUUAUACGUUCAUUGACAAGAUUAAAAGUACUUUACCAAAGAAAACUUAAAUCUACUUCCGACAAAAGACAAAUAUAAUCACGACAAGGACACUAACAGAGAAAUCUGUCAGCUUGUUGUAAGGUGAUUAACACAACUGCUUCCUGAUGAUGAAAUAAAUACGUUUGCAGGAAUUCUCAUGGAAACAAAUACAAAAGCAGAUGUAUAAGCUUCAAGUAAAUACAUUUCACUUUUUCUGAAAAUGCCUUUUUAUCAGUUGAGACAACAUGUUUAAGCUGAAUUUUCAAACAAUUUAAUUCAAUUAUGUCUGUGGUUUACUUCAAAACAACAUCACAUAUUUCAGAUGAAAGCAACUGCUUAGCAGAGGGGAAAUGUAAUAUUGACAGUUAAAAUAACAGUUUCAGUGGUGUGUAAGUCUGUGUUUAAAAUAGCUGUACAUACAAAUAAUUACAGAUUAACAGAGCUAGAACAAAGCUGCCCAAUGUGUUGGAAGCAUCGUCAAUGGCAGAUAUG